AGCUACACAGACCUUGUGCUCUAGCCUUUGUUGUCUCAGCUUCCGGGCGUCCAUCAUGCGGAGGCCGCGCACUGGAGCACGAAAUGGCGGUCGAGAGGCGGGGACGCCCGGAUCGGGGACCAUUUCCGACUCCGGCAGGGCGCGCCCUCCACCCCUUGCGCAGGCGCACGGCGCGGCGCGCGUUCCCGCGUUCUCCCGACGCGCGCCAGGACACAAAGGGCUGGAGGGAAAGCCCGGAGCGCGGACGGCACCUACGGAGCGGGUAGCGGUCCGGAGCGGCCUGGAGCGGACUGUCGGGGCUGGAGCCGGGCUCGCCGGAACCGCGCGCUCGGGCGCGGGGUGGGGCGACGAGCGGCGCUCCUUGCCCGCCCCUCGCCCUCGCCCUUCCUCAACUGCCGUAACGGCCUCGCGGGCCCUGUGGGGCGGGGCAGGCGCGCAGGGUGCAGGCGCCGCGCUUGUCGCCGCCGCGGGGAGGGCCGCGCGCCUCCAUUUUCCGUCGCGCGCUCUAAUGGCGGAACUGGAGCCUUUUCCCCAGUGCGGAGGGGAGGGCACGCCCCCGGGGAAGCCCGACGCCUUCCCUAGUUCUUUUCUCGGUCCGCGCACGGCAGCGCGGGAGCAGGCCCUGCAGCUCGGUAGGAAGCUUUGGGAUUGUGGUUCCCAGAGUCAUUCAUAAAAAGCAGAUCCCUCAAAUUAUUGUAAUGGUUUUUAACUUUCUACUUAAAACUGGAAAUGUAGGCGUCGGGGAAUGGUGAGGAUACUGAUGCAAAAACUAAGCUUUAACGAGAUGGGGGAGCCCAACACUCAGCUGAUAGAUGAAUGCUGUGGAACAUGCAGCAGUUGUCCUGCUGGAAGGGACGAAGUCUUCUGCGUUACUAUCCCUCAGCCUGAACAAAUGAGAGACUGCUGGGAGCUCCAAAUGCCUGACGGAGGGGCCAGGAGGCAGAGCGACAAGCCAACCACAGAGGAAGUCACCCAGAAACCUAGGGAGUUGGAAUCUUCUCAAGUGCUUGUUUAAAAAAAACAAAUGUUUCCUAACGGAGCUCAGGGGGAGGUGCUGGGCAGCCACCAAAGCUGGCGUUUGUCAGGGCUUCUGAAGAGGGCCAGGAAGGCCACGGCCACAUGCCUGCCUGUGCUGUGGCUCAUGUGGCUCCUCUCUCCAGGUUCUGUAGAUUUCUUCAUUCUCCCUGGCUGGGAAAUUUAAUCAGCCAUGUGAAGUUUUAAAAGGAGUGAAGUUCAAAAAUUUUUUUCCUGCAGAACAUUUUAAAUCCUGUCCCGAACUAAGGGUUCACUUACCUCCCAAUUUUACUCGAUUAGAAAUUAAGAUAUUAUUUCUUCAAGAUUUACCUGAAUCUAAGUUUUUAUUCUUCAGAAAUGACAUCUCACUAAUUAGAUUCUUAAAUCACUUACCCCAUAGUUUCCCUGACGACCCCUCAUAAUUUUCUGCCACACACUUCUCAGUGGCCGUGGGACAGACCCUUCCAAUCUGUAGUGUUGUAUGAGGAGCAGAUGGGUCGAUACGUCCAUUCCACUGUGGUGCUUACUACACCGGCUUCAUCCUACUGAGGAGUUGGUCAAGCACAGUGACAAUCAUGAUUCUGGCUGUGGUCUGGCUGAGGGUCUACCCCGGUGAGCUGGACUGGCUGACCCCUCGCUCACCAUGCGCACGGCUUCUCAACUCUGCACUCACUGCCAGAGUAGCUGAAAUCAGCCAUGGUGGGAGUAUUUACGCUUUGAAAAUUGGGGAACACUGCCCAUCAUGGCUUUUUGUUGGGUGGCGGAGGUGUGGGGGGGGAUGUGCUUAGGAAAUGUCUGGAGAAAUGAGAAACACCGAAAAUAGUUACCUGUGGGGAGUGGAACUGGACAGCAAGGGUAUUGGAGAAGGUUUUGUUUGUUUUUCGCUCUGAAUUUGUUAUCAUGUGUAUAACUAUUUUUUUAAAAGAGAGCUUUUUGUCCUUUAAGAACAAAGACUUCCUGCCGUGUUUAUUAGUCCUCCAUCACUCUCUGGAAGCUGUCUAGUGGAGGAAGAGAUCAGAGCCUGGGAGGUGUCAUCCUGGUGGCCUCCGUGGAGUGACGUCUGAGUCUAGGGUUGAGGACCAGGCCGAGGCAGAGCCCCGAGGACGCACACUGUGGAGCAGCUGGCGGUCCUUCUAGAACCUCCUGCGCGUCUGAGAGGGGAGCCACAGUAAUGCCAGGCUCCCAGCCAAGACGCCAGGCCCAAAUCACCAAAUCCCAAGGAUUAAACAGAAAAAUGGGUACAAAGGUAGGAGGACACUAAAAAUGCAGCUCUAGAGGAGGAUGGGGGGAGACCUGACCCAGGGCACAUGUCCCAGGAGGGUAACUUAGAUCAUGGGGCUGAUGGGCAGUUUCUUAGGCUGCCCCUGAGACCAUUUCCCCUGCCGUUCAGAUGAAAAGGGGCCAUCAGCUCUGCCCAGGAGGGAAGGAGGGCAAACUGGGGCAGUGAGGAAACAAGUAGGGACAGGUUCCCACAGCUCCCCUGGGGAGCGGCCACAGUCCACAAGGGCUAGGGAAUGAAGCAGGCAGAUCCAGCAACCACAUUGUACUCCAGAGAGGGCCCCCAGAGGCCCUGGGCAGUGUCUGGGAAUGGGGUGAGAGUUCCCCACUGGAUUUUGGAGUGGCUUGGAAAUUCUGAGCAAAGAUAAUGGUGGCCCUAGGUGCAGGGAUGGGCCUCAGGCAGGAAAAUCCAUCCAAGAUGUAGCAGGGUGCAGGAUCUAGAAGGCAGCCCCAGAACAGGCUGCCAGGCCCCCACUGAUAGGUGGAGCCUGGGGCA
This is a non-coding RNA of Manis javanica (Malayan pangolin), 2788 nucleotides long. The record is from RefSeq and is a predicted model, not a curated record. Lineage: Eukaryota; Metazoa; Chordata; Mammalia; Pholidota; Manidae.